AUACGUAGGUGGCGAGCGUUGUCCGGAAUUACUGGGCGUAAAGGGCGUGUAGGCGGCCUUUUAAGUCAGAUGUGAAAUCUCAGGGCUUAACCCUGAAACUGCAUUUGAAACUGGAGGGCUUGAGGAUCGGAGAGGGCAGUGGAAUUCCCAGUGUAGCGGUGAAAUGCGUAGAUAUUGGGAGGAACACCAGUGGCGAAGGCGACUGCCUGGACGACACCUGACGCUGAGGCGCGAAAGCUAGGGGAGCGAACGGGAUUAGAUACCCCGGUAGUCCUAGCCGUAAACGAUGGGUACUAGGUGUGGGAGGUAUCGACCCCUUCCGUGCCGGAGUUAACACAAUAAGUACCCCGCCUGGGGAGUACGGCCGCAAGGCUGAA
RNAcentral lists this ribosomal RNA (377 nucleotides) under uncultured bacterium. Its description in RNAcentral is "bacterial SSU rRNA". It matches the Rfam family "Bacterial small subunit ribosomal RNA", at positions 523 to 898 of the family's 1533-position model. The record is from RNAcentral.